RNAcentral lists this ribosomal RNA (465 nucleotides) under Rhodococcus sp. SW2-3. RNAcentral's name for it is "bacterial SSU rRNA". It matches the Rfam family "Bacterial small subunit ribosomal RNA", at positions 98 to 577 of the family's 1533-position model. Lineage: Bacteria; Bacillati; Actinomycetota; Actinomycetes; Mycobacteriales; Nocardiaceae. The record is from RNAcentral.
GCGAACGGGUGAGUAACACGUGGGUGAUCUGCCCUGCACUUCGGGAUAAGCCUGGGAAACUGGGUCUAAUACCGGAUAUGACCUCCUGUUGCAUGACUUGGGGUGGAAAGAUUUAUCGGUGCAGGAUGGGCCCGCGGCCUAUCAGCUUGUUGGUGGGGUAAUGGCCUACCAAGGCGACGACGGGUAGCCGACCUGAGAGGGUGACCGGCCACACUGGGACUGAGACACGGCCCAGACUCCUACGGGAGGCAGCAGUGGGGAAUAUUGCACAAUGGGCGAAAGCCUGAUGCAGCGACGCCGCGUGAGGGAUGACGGCCUUCGGGUUGUAAACCUCUUUCAGCAGGGACGAAGCGCAAGUGACGGUACCUGCAGAAGAAGCACCGGCUAACUACGUGCCAGCAGCCGCGGUAAUACGUAGGGUGCAAGCGUUGUCCGGAAUUACUGGGCGUAAAGAGUUCGUAGGCG